Oxyura jamaicensis (ruddy duck) is the source of this 179-nucleotide long non-coding RNA. RefSeq lists it as uncharacterized. The transcript is spliced from 3 exons. The record is from RefSeq and is a predicted model, not a curated record. Lineage: Eukaryota; Metazoa; Chordata; Aves; Anseriformes; Anatidae.
GCAUUGGAUCAGGCUCUUGCUUCUCCACUGCUGUGCCCAGGGAUGCAGAAGAGGAAGGCAGGCAGCCUGCCCGUCCCAGGAGCAGCACCAUCUUCAAAGCUUUUUUGGGAGCGCAGAUGUCAGGACAGGUUUGCAUUGACCAGCUGGAAAUCAAGACGGAUGCUGCACCACAAAAUCCC